Melospiza georgiana is the source of this 1904-nucleotide long non-coding RNA. RefSeq lists it as uncharacterized. The record is from RefSeq and is a predicted model, not a curated record. The transcript is spliced from 3 exons. NCBI's taxonomy places the organism in Eukaryota, Metazoa, Chordata, Aves, Passeriformes, Passerellidae.
GCAGGUAUCUUCCAGGCGGCCUCUGGAGUCAAAUCAAGACUUGAGGUACCCUGGGCAGGCUUGUAGCCACAGCUUGGAAGCGGCAGCACCGAAGCGCACACAUUGAGAACGUCUCAACGUCCACGUCCGACCGAGGAUGGAUUUUGUCUGCUUGUCUUCCAAAAGCUAAGUGUCGGGGCCAGUGGUUGGGAGAAGGGGAAAAGCCUUUACUAUCACAGGAGGCAAUCUGAUGUCAGCUUAGCGGAGAGGUCUGUAGUGGGACAGGCUCCCUGGAAGUAAAGGGAGAGGGUUUCUCCUCAGCCUCACCAGAGCCUUUGCCGGGCAGGGCAGUUCCUACCCAUCUCCACAUUCUCGUGAACUUUGCGUCAUCUGCCUUCCUCGACUUGAAGUCGUCACGGCUCUUUCCCCCGUGGAGCUUGCCUUCAGGUCCGGAGCUGUAGCCGCAGUCACCUGGCAGUCCGCUUCCUUCUCUAGGCUUGCUGAGCCUCUCGAGCAUCCUCCUAACUGCUUCGGCCCUAACUUCCUUUAAUGAGUUGCAUUUCAUCAUCACGUGCUGUUGUCAUAGGGCUUCCUUUCCCUUGGCCUCAUUGGCCUCUGGCUCGUCUUGUGCUAGGACUCUCGGGUCCCUAAAGGGAAAGUGCCAAGCAGUUGCAACUUGUCUCUGUGUUAUGUCAUCUGUGUCUAUGUUAUGGUGUGUGUGUCCAUUGUCUUCCACGGCAUAGGCCUUUGUUACAUCUCAAUGCUUUAUCGGCUCUCUUCUGUGCCAUGUUCUACUCACAUUCCUUGCCGGAUAUCCCUUAUUCCAGCAUCUUUACAUUUUUACUCUUUGAGACAGGAAUGUCUCACAGGGACAAGAUGUUCUCAUCCAUCUUCCUUCUCACUAUCAGCUUUGGUAGUGGGUUUUUUUCCAUUUUCUUGAACUUCUAGAGGGAGCAUCUUACACCCUCCUCACGUGACUGCAGUAGUUCUAUAGGUUCCAUCUUCUCAAAGGAUACAGGGCUCAAUAAGUAAUCUUCCAGAGAGUUUUCUUAAGUCGUGGUUUAUAUUGUAUGUUCCUAUGUUGGCUUAUAUUGUAUGUACUUACAUACAGUAUAAGUACGUACAGUAUAAGCCAGCAUAGGUACAUGCAAUGUAAGUGCAUCGCCUUAUAUUGUCUGUACUUACACUGCAUGUAAGCAUGUCGCCUUAUAUUGUGUGUACUUACACUCUGUGUACACUUGCACUGUAUGCGUCAGCUUAUAUUGUGUGUAGACUGUACCACUUAUGAUCGGAGCUGCCCUGCCCUGGCACAUAGUCACAGUUAGGUAGAACAGUUAUAACAACUUUACUGUUCAUCUGUCUUUUGUGGGAUUUUGGGUAGAAAAUUCAUCAGUCCAGAGUGGGGACAAGUCCUAGCUGUCAGAUAGCCACUUGUUGACCCUUCCUGUUGUCUCACAGGUCGCCGAGGCUGCUGAUUUCCCCAGGAUCUGCCAUUUAGCUCAAGGAGCGGCAGCCAGAAGAUGUGUCAAAGCACCUUCUUCAGCAUCUCAGAGAAGGGCCACAGUGAGCGUGUUUUGCAACUCAUUGUUAAAUUGAGAAUAAAAAAUCCCCAGCUGCCUUCCACCCUGGCUGCUUUUUUUUUUUUGGUCCCGGCCAAGUAAAAACCCAGAAAAAUACUCCAAGAUAGGCUAGAAAAGGCCCAAAAAACCCAGUAAAAAAACCCAAGAUGGGCAAGAAAAACCCAGAAAAAAGCAGAAAAAACCCCAAAAUGGGCAACAAAGAAACCCCACAAAAAUCCAGGAAAAAAACUGCAAGAUGGGGAAGAAAAAAAUCAAGAAAAAACCCAGAACAAUCCCAGGGAAAAAAUCUCAAGAGGGGCAAGAGCAAACCCGGGAAAAAAAGCUAAAAACCCCAAGAUGGGCAAG